GUGGGGAAUAUUGCGCAAUGGGCGAAAGCCUGACGCAGCGACGCCGCGUGAGGGACGACGGCCUUCGGGUUGUAAACCUCUUUCAGCAGGGACGAAGCGAAAGUGACUGUACCUGCAGAAGAAGCACCGGCUAACUACGUGCCAGCAGCCGCGGUAAUACGUAGGGUGCAAGCGUUGUCCGGAAUUAUUGGGCGUAAAGAGCUCGUAGGCGGUCUGUCACGUCGGAUGUGAAAACUUGGGGCUCAACUCCAAGCCUGCAUUCGAUACGGGCAGACUAGAGUUCGGUAGGGGAGACUGGAAUUCCUGGUGUAGCGGUGAAAUGCGCAGAUAUCAGGAGGAACACCGAUGGCGAAGGCAGGUCUCUGGGCCGACACUGACGCUGAGGAGCGAAAGCGUGGGGAGCGAACAGGAUUAGAUACCCUGGUAGUCC
RNAcentral lists this ribosomal RNA (430 nucleotides) under uncultured bacterium. Its description in RNAcentral is "bacterial SSU rRNA". It matches the Rfam family "Bacterial small subunit ribosomal RNA", at positions 354 to 796 of the family's 1533-position model. The record is from RNAcentral.